This 606-nucleotide ribosomal RNA is filed under the name uncultured bacterium. Its description in RNAcentral is "partial 16S ribosomal RNA". It matches the Rfam family "Bacterial small subunit ribosomal RNA", at positions 58 to 692 of the family's 1533-position model. The record is from RNAcentral.
CAAGUUCGCACGGGGUAGCAAUACCCAGUGGCGAACGGGAGAGUAAUGARUCGCUAACGUACCCCGGACUCUGGGAUAGCYAYCCGAAAGGRURGGUAAUACCAGAUGAYAYRACCKYRYSGCAUSGYRKGGUUYUCAAAGGUCCGCCGGUCUGGGAGCGGGCGAUUUCGUAUCAGCUAGUUGGUGRGGUAAYGGCUCACCAAGGCGACGACGCGUAGCCGGACUGAGAGGUUGGCCGGCCUCAUUGGGACUGAGACACUGCCCAGACUCCUACGGGGGGCUGCAGUAACGAAUCUUCCGCAAUGCACGAAAGUGUGACGGAGCGACGCCGCGUGUGGGACGAAGCCCUUCGGGGUGUAAACCACUGUCAGGGGUUACCAAGUUCUGAGGAGCCCCAGAGGAAGGCACGGCUAACUCUGUGCCAGCAGCCGCGGUAAGACAGAGGUGCCAAGCGUUAGGCGGAAUCACUGGGCUUAAAGCGUGUGUAGGCGGAUUGGUAAGUACCUUGUGAAAUCCCACAGCUCAACUGUGGAACUGCUCGGUAUACUGCUUAUCUUGAGCCACUUAGGGGCUGUCGGAACAAACGGUGGAGCGGUGAAAUGCGUA